Molecule: non-coding RNA, 906 nt
Organism: Peromyscus maniculatus bairdii (prairie deer mouse)
Lineage: Eukaryota; Metazoa; Chordata; Mammalia; Rodentia; Cricetidae
Source: RefSeq, a predicted model, not a curated record
AUAGGAUUUCAUGCUUCAAACGACGGACUAUUAAAAUGGAAGUAAGCAACACUGAGAUUGCUAUGAAAACAUCAUUAUAGACAUCCAACCACAGCAAGCAAAAUUAAGUCUCUCACAUGGAACUGUUAUCUUACAAGGCAACAACUCGAUGCUGAAACCUUAGUACAUGAUGAUCUGCAUAAGGUACCAAUCUAAAGUCACAUCCUCAAUGCACUUGAAUUUCAAUAAAGAGCUCAGAGGACUGUGAUGUUAUAUCAGGAGAUUCUUAUAGAAUGCAGGAAUUACAAACAGAGUAGACACAGAUUUGGGAAAGGAGUGGAGGAUCUUGGAGGACUUGGUGAUCAAAUGACACUGAACAAAAAUCGUCUGCUUUUGGGAGCUUGAGGAAAAUGACAUUAAUACAAAGUACUCUGCAGAAAUGAAAAUCAGAAAUUCAUUGGCACUGUGGAGAGGCAAGACACUCAUCUGAAUCCAGACUUCUCACAAUAAUGAGAAAACAUACACAGCACUGGGGAGGUACAAAAGCAUUCCACUUUACCAUCCACUGAUCACAGGUGUACAAGUCUUAGGAAAUGUCCUUCAAGUAACAGGAGAUGAGAAAUACUACCCCUCACUAGGGAAGCUUCUAUGUAUAGCAAAUGCAGACCGUCACAGAAAAAACAGAACUGAAAGCAAUACAGAGAUCAGUGGAUUUUGGGGAGCCCAGAGCCACUGUAUACAUCUACAUCACAGCUCUGGAAUCUGUUGCUCAUGGACUAUCAAGGAAGAUGAGGCAGAAAGACCUUGAGAGCCAAUAGACCUGAAGUCUGUUGUAAAAAUAUUCUCUUCUAGAAACAGCUGCAUUAAAAAGGUCCAUUAAAGCAGCAAUCUCAAUAAACUUGCUACACUAAAUGGAAUAAGAAAUCA